Molecule: RNA transcript, 1410 nt
Organism: Piliocolobus tephrosceles (Ugandan red Colobus)
Lineage: Eukaryota; Metazoa; Chordata; Mammalia; Primates; Cercopithecidae
Gene name: HEAT repeat-containing protein 6-like
Exons: 4
Source: RefSeq, a predicted model, not a curated record
UGACCUGCUAAAGUAAUGGCAGUGUUUUGUUUUGUCUUACAGGAUGUCAUAUUUGUUGCAGACACAGCAAAUGCAAUAUCGAUGUCACUUGAAGACAAGUCUCUGAAUGUUCGAGCCAAAGCAGCCUGGUCCCUGGGCAACCUGACAGACACUCUGAUUGUCAACAUGGAAACACCAGACCCAAGUUUCCAGGAAGAGUUCUCUGGUCUCCUGCUCUUGAAAAUGUUACGAUCAGCUAUAGAAGCAUCCAAGGAUAAAGACAAGGUAAAGAGCAAUGCAGUCCGGGCCCUUGGAAAUUUGCUUCCUUUUCUGCAACCCUCUCAUAUAGAAAAACCCACAUUUGCAGAAAUAAUUGAGGAGUCUAUCCAGGCCCUAAUCUCUACUGUUCUAACAGAAGCUGCCAUGAGAGUCUGAUGGAAUGCUUGUUAUGCAAUGGGAAAUGUAUUUAAAAAUCCUGCCCUUCCAUUAGGGACAGCCCCAUGGACUCCCAGGCUAUAGUGCCCUGACAUCGGUCGUGACAUCGUGCAAGAACUUCAAAGUGCGCAUCAGAUCUGCCGCUGCCCUUUCCGUCCCGGGGAAGAGAGAGCAGUAUGGGUCUGUUGAACAGUAUGCUCGGAUCUGGAAUGCAUUGGUCACCGCCUUACAGAAGAGCGAAGACACCACCGACUUUUUGGAAUUCAAGUACUGUGCCAGCCUGCGGACCCAAAUCUGCCAGGCACUGAUUCACCUCUUGAGCUUGGCCAGUGCCUCAGACCUCCCUUGUAUCAAAGAAAUCCUUGAACUGAAUGGGAAUAUGGUCCAGUCCUAUAUCCUACAGUUUUUAAAAUCUGGAGCAGAGGGAGAUGACACUGGAGCACCUCACAGCCCACAGGAAACAGACCAGAUGGUCAGAAUGGCCCUUAAGCACAUGGGCAGCAUCCAGGCACCAGCUGGAGACACAGCCAGAAGGGCCAUCAUGGGCUUUUUAGAAGAGAUCCUGGCCAUUUGUUUUGACUCAUCUGGAUCACAAGGGGCACUCCCAGGGUUAACCAAUCAGUGAGGAUCCCACCAUACUUUCUAGGUAUCGAAGGUAGCAGUAGGAAGACCUGAGCUUGAGCAUAAGAUCUGUGGGAUUUCAUCCUAGGAGCAGAAACAAUCCAUUCACUAUUCAUUUAGAAUGACUUAGCAGCAAUUUAAAUUUUCACAGAGGGCUCAACCACCUUUGGAGUGGCUCCAUGACACUGGCCAUGGUCAGGGUUGUUGGAACGUCUGACCUGUGCAUUCAGGAGCCGAGGAGUCAGGUUGUAAUAUGAGCUAAGCAGACAGGGCUUUGAGGGCAUUUAGUCUCAGAAAAAAAAAAAGUAGAAGGAUUUAGGAAUUAGAAUUUUAUAUAUUGUAUCUGUAGUUUUGUAAUAAACUAAAGAAGAAUUA